RNAcentral lists this ribosomal RNA (446 nucleotides) under uncultured bacterium. RNAcentral describes it as "bacterial SSU rRNA". It matches the Rfam family "Bacterial small subunit ribosomal RNA", at positions 958 to 1397 of the family's 1533-position model. The record is from RNAcentral.
AACGCGAAGAACCUUACCUGGGUUUGACAUGCCAGGAUUAUCUCUAUGAAAGUAGAGUAGGCCCUUCGGGGUACAACUGGUACAGGUGCUGCAUGGCUGUCGUCAGCUCGUGUCGUGAGAUGUCGGGUUAAGUCCCUUAACGAGCGAAACCUUUGCCCUUAGUUACCAGCGGGUUAUGCCGGGGACUCUAAGGGGACUGCCGGUGUCAAACCGGAGGAAGGUGGAGAUGACGUCAAGUCCUCAUGGCCUUUACGCCCAGGGCCACACACGUGCUACAAUGCGGCGGAUAAAGCGAACCGAGAGCGCAAGCUGGUGGAAAUCGCACAAAUCGCCGCCCAGUUCAGAUCGGAGGCUGCAACUCGCCUCCGUGAAGUUGGAAUCGCUAGUAAUCGCGGAUCAGCUACGCCGCGGUGAAUGUGUUCCCGGGCCUUGUACACACCGGCUAC